AGUGAACGCUGGCGGUAGGCCUAACACAUGCAAGUCGAACGGCAGCACAGUAAGAGCUUGCUCUUACGGGUGGCGAGUGGCGGACGGGUGAGGAAUACAUCGGAAUCUACUUUUUCGUGGGGGAUAACGUAGGGAAACUUACGCUAAUACCGCAUACGACCUACGGGUGAAAGCAGGGGAUCUUCGGACCUUGCGCGAUUGAAUGAGCCGAUGUCGGAUUAGCUAGUUGGCGGGGUAAAGGCCCACCAAGGCGACGAUCCGUAGCUGGUCUGAGAGGAUGAUCAGCCACACUGGAACUGAGACACGGUCCAGACUCCUACGGGAGGCAGCAGAGGGGAAUAUUGGACAAUGGGCGCAAGCCUGAUCCAGCCAUACCGCGUGGGUGAAGAAGGCCUACGGGUUGUAAAGCCCUUUUGUUGGGAAAGAAAAGCAGCAGGUUAAUACCCCGCUGUUCUGACGGUACCCAAAGAAUAAGCACCGGCUAACUUCGUG
RNAcentral lists this ribosomal RNA (492 nucleotides) under uncultured bacterium. RNAcentral describes it as "partial 16S ribosomal RNA". It matches the Rfam family "Bacterial small subunit ribosomal RNA", at positions 29 to 507 of the family's 1533-position model. The record is from RNAcentral.